This 992-nucleotide ribosomal RNA is filed under the name Pseudomonas aeruginosa. RNAcentral's name for it is "partial 23S ribosomal RNA". It matches the Rfam family "Bacterial large subunit ribosomal RNA", at positions 1239 to 2215 of the family's 2925-position model. Lineage: Bacteria; Pseudomonadati; Pseudomonadota; Gammaproteobacteria; Pseudomonadales; Pseudomonadaceae. The record is from RNAcentral.
UUCUGUAAGCCUGUGAAGGUGAGUUGAGAAGCUUGCUGGAGGUAUCAGAAGUGCGAAUGCUGACAUGAGUAACGACAAUGGGUGUGAAAAACACCCACGCCGAAAGACCAAGGGUUCCUGCGCAACGUUAAUCGACGCAGGGUUAGUCGGUUCCUAAGGCGAGGCUGAAAAGCGUAGUCGAUGGGAAACAGGUUAAUAUUCCUGUACUUCUGGUUACUGCGAUGGAGGGACGGAGAAGGCUAGGCCAGCUUGGCGUUGGUUGUCCAAGUUUAAGGUGGUAGGCUGAAAUCUUAGGUAAAUCCGGGGUUUCAAGGCCGAGAGCUGAUGACGAGUCGUCUUUUAGAUGACGAAGUGGUUGAUGCCAUGCUUCCAAGAAAAGCUUCUAAGCUUCAGGUAACCAGGAACCGUACCCCAAACCGACACAGGUGGUCGGGUAGAGAAUACCAAGGCGCUUGAGAGAACUCGGGUGAAGGAACUAGGCAAAAUGGCACCGUAACUUCGGGAGAAGGUGCGCCGGCUAGGGUGAAGGAUUUACUCCGUAAGCUCUGGCUGGUCGAAGAUACCAGGCCGCUGCGACUGUUUAUUAAAAACACAGCACUCUGCAAACACGAAAGUGGACGUAUAGGGUGUGACGCCUGCCCGGUGCCGGAAGGUUAAUUGAUGGGGUUAGCGCAAGCGAAGCUCUUGAUCGAAGCCCCGGUAAACGGCGGCCGUAACUAUAACGGUCCUAAGGUAGCGAAAUUCCUUGUCGGGUAAGUUCCGACCUGCACGAAUGGCGUAACGAUGGCGGCGCUGUCUCCACCCGAGACUCAGUGAAAUUGAAAUCGCUGUGAAGAUGCAGUGUAUCCGCGGCUAGACGGAAAGACCCCGUGAACCUUUACUGUAGCUUUGCACUGGACUUUGAGCCUGCUUGUGUAGGAUAGGUGGGAGGCUUUGAAGCGUGGACGCCAGUUCGCGUGGAGCCAUCCUUGAAAUACCACCCUGGCAUGCUU